ACUAUUCCUUUCCAUAAGUCUAUCACUGUAUCCCACAUUUGGGGAUCAUGUGCUGCUAUAUUCAGAAUUUUACCUUUGCUUCCUCCUUCUUGUAGUUUAAUUGGUUCUUCUAUUGGCAUUCUUUUACCUGCUGGUUUUAUAUUAUCUCCUCUAAGCUCUGUAUCUGGGUUUAUCCUAAUUGCUGGUCUUCUAGGUACAUUGCCUGUACUAUAAUCUAUUGGUUGGGGAUUAGGGUUUGUUUGUUGGAAUGGGCUAGCACUUGAGGAGCUAGUUGGUUCUAAUUCUG
Molecule: long non-coding RNA, 286 nt
Filed under: Capsicum annuum
Lineage: Eukaryota; Viridiplantae; Streptophyta; Magnoliopsida; Solanales; Solanaceae
Description: long non-coding RNA (CANN_LNC013172)
Source: RNAcentral